CUAAAGUAUAACUAAAUUUAAAAUCCAUUUAAAAAAAAAAAAUUGUAUCUUUUUUAUCUAGAUAAAAAAAUACUUAUCUAAUCCGAACACUGGUUAGCCGUGAUUUAAACUGUCCAUAAUAUACCUAUAGUACUUACAGGAAACUAUGUCCAGACCUUGGUUCUCUACUUUCGUCGAUUUUAUGUCCUAGGGUAUAUUAUACGUUUACCUUUAACACAUCAUAACACUGCAGUGUUCAUCCAAUUAAUUGUUCCAGAAAUUAAUUGAAAUUGCCUCUAAAAACUCUUUUCUACUCCUUAGUUCAUCCUUUCUUGGAAUAUGGGUGCUCUUCCUUAUUGCUUCUGAGAUAAUCAUGCUUGAACGAGUAAUAUAUAUUUUAUAUUUACCCGUUGUUUCUUAAACGAUAUAUAUAUACCUUCACUUCUAUUCAACCUUCCAUACAUAUCAUCUACCCUUGCUGGCAGAAGAAAAACUGCCGAUCUCACAUUCCUCACUAAACUUAUAAAUAGCUUAAUUGAUUCACCCACAUUGUUAUCUCAAAUUAAUUUUAGAGUACCGUCACGUCACAGCAGAUCUACUUUCCCAUUUUAUAUUCUGUUUACUUCCUCUAAGUUCUAACUACUAAUACAACUCUACUUUAUCCAUGUUAAGCUUAUAGAAAAUGAUAACCCUACUCUUGUGCAUUUAUUUAUUUACUUUCCAUUAGUCAUUCAUUUUAUUGUGUUUCCAAUUAAUAUCUUACUCUUAUUUUAUCAUUUUCUUAUUCAUGUUUCUGUUAUUGUUCUGUAUAUUAUAUUUUUUCUUUCAAAAUGUUCGUGAUUAUAUUAUAUUAUAUUUUUAUUUUGGAACUAGGUCCGAAACCUUAAUAAAUUUGUAUGUAUAGUCAGGAGUUCUGUAUGGUCCUGGUUGUACCUAACAGUUUAGGGCUGAUGUUCAUAAGUUAUCCAAUCGGGCCAUCGAGGUGAAUUGGUUUGGUGCUUAAAAAUAAAAAUAUCUAGUUAUAGUUCAAAACUACAUUACUCAUAUUUUGUUUUUAUAAUAAUGAACCUUCAAUAUUUGUUUUCGGUCUACUGUGUUUUUAGAAGUUAACGGGUGAUUAUUAUACAUAAUAAUAGAUCUGGACAAGAAAUAAUUAUUAAAUAUUACCUACUUAAGUCUAUUUGAAAAAAAAAAUACUAUAUAUUUGUAUAUUAUGUCUAUAAUUGGAAUUUUACCGGAGUUUAUCGUUCAACACUAUAAACAUAUUAAGUCUACAUAUUUAAAGAUCAAUGCUGGUAUCAUAGGCAAAUGUUGUCUACACACAUACAAUUAUUAUGCAAAAUAACCGAUUUGCGUUCAGCCGAAGUUUUACGUCGUUAGCUUAAAUUUAAGGGUAAAACAUAUAUGUUGACGAUUUUAUCAACAUAUAUAAAAUUAAUGGUUAUUAACUAAACAAGAACAUUAUAAUAUGUUUAUUUUAGUCGGUUUUCUACGAUAUUAUUAUUUUGAAGCGAGUUUGAGUUGAACAUUUUUUAAUAGUAAAAUUGUCCAGUUUUUCCCGACAACACAAAAUUUGCUGAUGGUACGUUUCCAAGACGGAGACACAAUACCGUAAUUGUGGGUGAAUAGAAAUUGAUGGGUGAAUAGAAACAAAAUUUCGAAAUAAGUUUCAUUAACCAAUAACUACGGUCUAAGUAUAACUACUUUUAUAAGUUGUUGAUGUAUUACAUUGGUUAUGUUAUGAAGAAUCGAAUUCAAUUGAUACAUUUUUACCUCCAUAAUAAUUGUCGAUAAAAAAAUUGAUAAGAGUAAACAUUAUUUUACCUCCAAAAAAUGUGUAUCAACUUUGUUAUCAUGGUUCUCAUGAACGAAUUGUGAUAACUCCAAAAUUUUUUUUUUCACUUUUCGGCGUUGUUGUGGAGAAUUAAUUAACAAACAUGCCAAAAGUAUAUAAGCCAGAUUCGCGCGGCAAAUAUGUUUAAAAUGUUGUUUUUCAUAAAAUAAAGACUAUAAGUAAGUUAUUUGAACGUUUAUUUUUUUAAAAAAUUCAAAAUUUUGUUUCUAUUCAACCUCAAUACAGUUGAAUAACAAAUUCUAUGAAAACUAAGCAGCUGUUUUUUUUCACCCUCACCUGCGGGUGAAUAGAAACAGCGUACUCAAAAAAAAUUAUAAAAUCAAAUUUUUUAGUUGGAUAACCGUUGAAAAUUCUAUAAUGUAGUACACGGUGAGACCCAAAUUUUGAUGUAAUUCACAGAAUUGUACAUAUUUUAGAUCCAGAGAUAUAACACCUGAAAGAUGUAAACCUGUUUCUAUUCACCCACAAUUACGGUACAUUAUGAGCUUAUGACGUUAUGUGUGUUGUAGGUAUAGCUUCCUCUUAAUGUAAUAUAUAUUUUAUAGUAAUAAUCGGUCCACGCAUCAACUGCAGAGUUCAUACUCCAUAAUAUCCUUACGUCUUGUUAUCGGAUUUGGUCGGAUUUUGCCAGUUAAACUUUGUUACGGGUCGGGUUGAAUCGGGUCGUGUAUAAUAAUAUGUCUCGAGCUGGGUCAUCGGGUCGGAUCACAUUUUUAUAUGACGUUGUUGAGUCCUUCUAAGCACUUCAACAUAAUAUUACCUCUAUCAUGGGUCAGGUGGUCAGGCGUUGUAUUAUAUAAAUGCAUAGAAACUGUUAAGUUGAGCUAUGUACAAUAUGGUUCCUUCCACGUCAGACCAUUUCAAAUUAAUUAUGUAAUAAUUGUUCUGAUCUGGCCCGGCUGUUAAGGCUCAGACUGCAGACUUCUAAAUUAUACCUAUACUUAAGGUCAGUGGUUCCCAAACUUUUUUUUUCCAGUCGUGUCCUUUUUGGACUAAAUCCGGUGCCCAGCUGUGAAUACAACCAGAAAUAUAUUAAAUAAAAAAUAAUUUUUAUUUGAUAAUCAUUUUUUAUAAUAUUUUAUUGAGUAAUAAAUUAUAUAGGUAAUUAAAUUUUAAAUUUAUUUUGAGUCGCAAUCCAUAUUAUAAUUUGGAAACCUCUGUGACUUUAAGCUACCAUAUAUUAUUAUAACCACCGCCUUUAGUUUAUUCGAAAAAUUAUUAAAAAAAACCCUCAAACGUUAACCAUUUAAAUAUAACUAUCUAAAUAAUUAGAUCAAAAAGUUUAUAUUAUUAUACCUAUAUAAAUUAUGACGUAUAUUCAUAGCAUACAGUAUUAUAAUGUCCGAUACCAAAUCGUCACUGCCUCGUGCCAUUAUGAGAAUAAUGCCCUUCGGAGAAUAUUGCAGCCCUCUAUCAUCUGUUCAUCUCCCUCUCACCGUUAAACACAGUUAUUAAUUAUAAACAUUAAUGUUCGAAACAAAUACAUACACGCAAUUUAAUAAUGUUUGUGAUACAGUGCCACACUCAUCCCCCUAGUGAUUGUUAUAUUUAUUCAUAGACAUUAUACUAUUAUUAUAGUAUAAGGUCUGCAUAUAUUAUAUAUAUUUAUAUAUAUAUACUGUGUAUUGAAUACACGCAGAGAGGGUGGUAGCCGGUAUAAGUACAAUGUACAUAAUAUUAUAGUAAUUGAAUUACGCAAUUUCGUUACAUUGUGUUCAACUACACAGUGUUUAUAAAUUAUUAUUAUUAGAUUAUGAUUUACCGAUAUUAUACUAGAAAAUCACAAAAUAAUAUUAUUAUGCACUUACUGCACAGCUAUUGAUUCGAAUUUUAUAAAGUUCAAAGUUAACGCAUGAAUGUACCUAGAGUUUUUCUGCUAGUAGAUAUACAGCAGGGCUCUAAAUUAUGCCCCCCUCCCACGCUCACAAUUUGCUUAGUAUAUCUAUAUACCUCUUUCCUUUUAUGGAUAUAAUGUAGGCAUAAUAUAUUAUAAUAUUAUACCUUUACCUAUUAUUAUUUUACACAAAAUUGACGGUUUCUGAUAAUAACUGAGCAAGUAUUGAUGAUAAGUAAAUAUUAGCACCGCCAAAAAAUCGGGUGCAAAAUUCUAAUAUUAAUAAUAAAAUUGAUGUACCUAAUAAUAAUAAUAAAAUUACUAUGUAACAUAAGUCUACGGUUCUAAUUUAAUUGCCCUAAAUACUAUCCAAAAAUGAUCUUAAAAAUUCGUUGUAACAAGCAAAACAUGUUACAAUAUAUCCUCACAAUUUACCCAAAAAUUGUCUUAGUAACUCUUGAGCAAAUAAAAAUACGAACUUAACUAAAUAAACUCGAUUACCACGUAACAUCAACUGAAUAACUAUUAAUUGUUACUGGUUUGAGUCGGGGGAUGCAAAAGAGACGGGUUAAUCGAAACACUGCUGUACAUAUAGAAAUCAUAAUUAUUGGUGUGAUCGACAAAUAUGGUCAAAACAAAAUUCCUUGAACUAAUAUUUUGAAUUACCUACUAAUUAUUUUUAAUCUCAAAAUGUAUAUAAAGUAUAAGUACCUUAAUAAUCGCUAGAAAUCAACAAAAUUACUUACAAAUUAUAAAAAAAAACGUCAAAAAAACGCCAAAUCUGAUAAAAUGAAAAAUAAUAGUUUAAGUUAUCAAUUCUCUGUUGCAUAUAAAACGGAUUUCAUACUUAAAAAGCAUUGCUUAGAACUUACAAAAAAUAAUGAAUUUCUAAUUUAGCCCUAAACAUAACUAUCUAGUAUCUGGGGUGCCAAAUUUUCAAAAACCAUAUCAUACAUAACAUAUUUUUAAGGUAGAAUUCAAAAAGUCGCUAUACAUUUUCUAUAUCUGUUCUACGUCUUCCACCUACUUAAAGAACUGAAUUUUGGAGAAUUUGGUGUUUAAUUUUAAUUAUUAGAUACCUAUUUUCAACUUUUGAACACCGUGGAUUUGAAAUGGACAUCGCAUAUUCUUUGAAUCGUGAUGUGGAUUGAAAGAGGGAAAUCAUCAUUGCAAGGGGCGGGGUAUGCACGCAUUGUGACUUUAACCUUUUAGCCUUUUUAUUUGUCUCUAACUCCAGCAAAAUCCUAGCUACAUAUAGGUACUUCUACAUCCAAUUUAUUGUGAGGAAAUCAGUAAAAUACAUUUUUUCCUUUGUAAAAAUAUAUAUUAUAGUUAAAUAAAAUGAUAAAACGAUUCUUCUCUAUUUGCCAUCCUAUUACAUCAGAUCUCUACUCGCGUUUCCGAACGAGCUUGGCCCACAAUGUCAAAAAGUAUAUUUUCAGAUUCUUAAAAAAAAAAAAUUAACUGUUUUGUACGCAUCGUACGCAGUAACGUUAAUGUGAAAAGUAUAUUUUUAAUAUUACCAUGUUUAUAGAUUCACGUUUGAAACACAUCGUGAUAGACACUCGGGGUGUACGUUUCAGACAUGACAUAAAAACUAAUUUCCAACGAACCAAUAAUUAAAUUGAUGUAGUUUAGCGAAAUGGAUUCUAAAAACGAAUUUAAAUUUGUCACAUUGAUGUGACAAGUUGAUGAAAAACUCUACGCAUGAGGUCGACUCUCUGACAUAUUAAUUGUAUACGUUUUAUGUUAAACACAGUAAUAAUAUAUUUUAUAUUGAUUAUUAAACUUUUUAUAAAAUUGUAUUUUUAUGCCAUCGAUGUUCUUAGAAUAUGGGAAUUUUCGCAAUUAUAAUUUGUUUUUAUAUAUUAGUAUGCAUAAUAAUAUAACAGUGGUGGAUUUUGUAAUCAUUUUCAUAUUUGAAUUAUGCACCCGAUUUUGUGGUGAUGGUAAUUUUUGAUUAUUAUAAUAACUAGUUAAGUUUUGACAAAAAAAAAAAAAA
Molecule: long non-coding RNA, 5670 nt
Filed under: Acyrthosiphon pisum (pea aphid)
Lineage: Eukaryota; Metazoa; Arthropoda; Insecta; Hemiptera; Aphididae
Description: uncharacterized LOC115033784
Source: RNAcentral